GAAAUUGUGAGAUCUUUUGUGUUGAUUCUUUUGAGAACUCAUGAAUUUAUCAAGAAUAUUUUCUUGUGACGUUCAAAUAUGACUUAUCGCUCUCUUUCUUUUCUACUUUAGAGUGUGACGUCAAUUUAUACCUUUGAUUCAUGUCAAUUAUAGACAUCGGGUCAAUGUUUUUUACACCUUUGGUUCAUGAUUAUCUAUAAUCAUUGGGUGAAGGUUUUUAUAUUUUUGAUUCGUGUCAAUUAUAGACAUUGGCUCAAGGUUUUCUUUAAUUUGAAAUCUGAUUUAGCUUUUCUGGGUUCCUAGCUUCCUUGCUUGCGUGUAGGGUCUCAUAGUUCAUUUGUGAGGUUUGCAUCAUUCAGCCUUCUUGACUUCUAUCUUUUUUAGAGAAGUAGAUAGGAUGUCAAGAGGUAGCCUUGCUUUUAUUAACCUUUGGAAGUUUGUUUGUUGGAUCAUUGUAUAGCUUUUUUCAUUAACUCGAGGUUUUCUUGUCCUAAGGUAAGACUUUUUUUAGUUAACAAAUUUUUAAUUACCAAAAAAAACAAGCAAGAUAGCAAAACAAUUGAAUACAAAUCUCAUUAGCACUUUUGUUUUUUUAUUGAGUAAUUUGGUUGUUCUCGGCUUAACUUAAGGACAUGUCCUAGGCAAGUCAUUUUGUUUUUUGUGUUUGGUGUUUGUUAGUUUUUUGGCUUUAUGGCCUUGCCUCUAGGUUGCUAUCUCCCCUUGUGAGUGUAGAUAUCUUCUCAAGAGGUUUGUUUUCCUUUGCUUGUGCUGUUGGUGUUCUUGUCCAUAGCUCGAGGUUUUAUCCGUGACAAGGCUUUCUUUCCUUCCUAGGCUCGUGGUAAGACUCUUUUUGGUGUUAAUAGAUGUUUAAUUACCAAAAAAAAAAAGCUUUACUUUGGGGCUACCUUGUAUUAUGUUUGGAGGGAGAGGAAUAAUGUGCUUUAUGAUAGAGGAUGGUCUUUAAAGGAAAGAACUGUCACUACCAUUAAGGAUUUGUGAGUGAUCGAGUCUCUUUAUCAAACAUUUGGAGAUCUUAUGAUAAUGAUAUCAUUACGCUUAAUUGGGACUUUUUUUUUUUGGUUGAUUAAGCAUAUUGUGCUUAAUUAGGAUUUGUUGAGAUCCAUCUUUGUUUAGGCCUUUUUUUUUUUUUUUUUUGCUUCUUAUAGGCUAUUGGUUUGGAUGCUUUAUGUGUUUUGUUGGUGUCUUAAUGCUUUUUUUUUUUUCCCUCUUUUUGGUUGCUAACUUUCCCUUGGCUUAGUUAGCUCUCAAGUAAAGGUGGUGUGGUUAGUGUGUUUGGCUUUAGCUCGGGGCUUUAUCUAUGGCAAGGCGUUGGCUUUCUUUCCUAACCCAAGGGCUUGUCCCAUGGUAGGCUCUUUUUGGUUAUAAAUUUUUUUACCAAAAAAAAAAAAAACCCUUAUAGUAAUUAUGCAUGAGUUCUUGGCAAAGAAGAAUGUUCUCACCAAUGCACCAACUUCCCACAAAGGCACCUUGAGCUAAUUAGCCAUAUUUUUGGUGAUGCACUUGUAGAUUGUGUUACAACAAGCAAUAGGCCUAUAGCCAUUGUAAAAGAGAAGGGUUCGAAACUUUAGGGACAAAAGCAAGGAUAAUACAAUUAACCUCUUUAAAAAGAUUACUCAAAAUGAAGAAAUGCCUGAUUGCCUUCAUUAUAUCUUCCCCAACAAUGUCCCAAGUUGCCUUAAAGAAACAAGCACUAUAAGCCAUCCAGACUUAGGGCCUUAUUAUUAUCCAUAGCAAAGAUGGUUUCCUUUAUCUCCUCCUCCCCCACGUCCAUGAGCAUUUCUUUCUCUUCAAGGCCUACUCGAAACUUGAGAAGUCUUUUAAUGAGUCAUCUAAUAAUGAAAGACUAUGACAAGAGUGUGGUAGGCUGGAUAACAUUGAGAACAUUGAAGACACAAGCUAAAUGUAAGAAGCAUGAUGUGGCAUUCAAGGAUGACAUGGCAAAUGAUGUUGAGACUAUCAAACACAUGGGAAAUGAUAUGGCACAUCCUUGGUGACGUUUUUACUUGUCAAAAUAUGAAGUGGAAGCUUGAUUAGGCAAAAGUUCAUGUGAAGAAAAUAUUUCUAGUUUUCUAGUAUUCAAUUGAAAUUUACCUUCCUAGUAUUUUUAGUUUUCUAGUUGUUUAGGAGUUUUAUUUGUUUUAAAACUCUUAGUUUUAUUUUCUUUAGGAAUUAUAAUUAUAUUAUGAUUAUUAUUUAGGAUUAUUAUUAUACUAGAGAUUAUGUUUGAUAUUAUCAUGAGGCUAUAAAUAAAUGUGUGACCCUGGGAUAGAUGAUACACAUUGGCAUAAUGAAAUUGUGAGAUCUUUUCUCUUGGUUUUUUUUUAGAACUCAUGAACUUAUCAAGAAUAUUUACUUAUGGCAUUCAAAUAUGACUUAUCACUCUCCUUCUUUUCUAUUCUAAAGUAUAGCGUCAACUUAUACCUUUGGUUCAUGUCAAUUAUAGACAUCGGGUCAAGGAUGUUAUGCAUUUGGUUCAUGAUUAUCCAUAAUCAUUGGGUCAAGGUUUUUAUACUUUUGGUUUGUGUUAAUUAUAGGCAUUGGGUUAAAAUUUUCUUUAAUCUGAAAUAUGAUUUAGCUUUUCUAAGCUCCUAGCUUCCUUGCUUGUGUGUAAGGUCUCAUAGUUCUUCUUUGAGGUUAACAUUAGUUUGUCAUCAAAACUCGGCUCUAAAUCAGCAAAAAGGGAAAAAAGCGAAAUUAAAAAAGAGAAAAAAUGAAAUUAAAAAAAAAAAGAAAAGUAAAGUUGUCUUUUUAUUUGAUUCCUUCCUAUAUUAGGAAUCCUACAACUUAAGGAAAAUAGAUCUUGUUUGAUAUAGACUUUAUGUCUUUCCUAAAUUGAAAUAGGAAAGUGUAAAUUAAAGGAAUACACUUUAUUUCUUUUCCAAUUUGUAAAAGGAUUUGCAUCUAAUUGAUUUUUCCCCUUAAUAUCUUGUGAUCUUCUCUUAUUCUCUUCCUAAAUCUGCAAACUUCUUCCAAAAAAAAAAAUCCGCAAACUUUAUUAUGCUUCUUGAAUUUUCCUUAUUCUUGGUUUGUUCUUUUAUCGCCUUCGUGUUUAUCUUUGUUUUUUUCCUCUUUUGAUCUUGGAUUGUUGGAAUUAGAUUAUUAUAAGGUAAUUUGAUUGAGAUUGUUUGAUUCAAUAAAGAAUUGAGAGAGGAAAGCUGAGUGAAAAAGAAAGAAGGCAAGAGACGUGAGCAACAUUAUUAUGUGCAAACACAAGAGAUUGAGUGACAUUUUGUUUUUUAGAUGAGUGAAACACGUGAGGAAGUGUGUGAGGUUCCUUUCUAACAUAUUUUGUAGGUUACAAUGAUGUCAUCAAGUUAAAAUAAAAGUUCAACUAAAAGUGAAGAUUUGAAGACAAAUCCUUUUAAAGAGAUGGGGAAUGAUGUGAUCCAUAGAAGACCAAGAACGUGUGAUCCAAUAAUGAAUGACUAUGACAAGGGUGUGGCCUCCAUGUCAUGCAAGAGCUUAAGAAGAAUGAAGAUUUAGCCCUUCACAAGCUAAAGGAAGCAAUACAUGUUCAUUUUUUGCCCAAUCUCACUUUUGGGCAUAACAUCAAUGAAUAGACUCAAGAUCUACUUAAGUGACUUGUUUUAUUUAGCCCAAAGAAGUCUUAAAAGAAGUCCAUCACAAACCCAAGACAUCCAAGACUCAUUAGGAAGCUCAUUGAGUCCAAAAUCAAGUAAUUAGUUGCUUUGGAACAAAAUAGGAAGUUGGUUGAUAAAGUUAGGGAACAUGGUUCCUAAAUUUAAGGAAAAGGGCAAUAACUUUUGUCUCCUAGAACAUUAAGAAGUAUGGGGUUAGUUUAUAAUGUGAAGCUUAGCUUUGUUUAAAAUAUGUAAACUACUUGCUUUUUUGUUGACUUUUAUUGGAAAAUUGUAGCAUUGCUGCCACCUCUUCAUAUACAAAGGGUGGCCUCCCAGUUGUUAAGUUUUUAACUUGUAUUUUGAAUGAGCUUGGUGAUAAAGCUUUGAAGCCUUAUCUCU
Mangifera indica (mango) is the source of this 4001-nucleotide long non-coding RNA. RefSeq lists it as uncharacterized. NCBI's taxonomy places the organism in Eukaryota, Viridiplantae, Streptophyta, Magnoliopsida, Sapindales, Anacardiaceae. The record is from RefSeq and is a predicted model, not a curated record. The transcript has 2 exons.